This 497-nucleotide ribosomal RNA is filed under the name uncultured bacterium. RNAcentral describes it as "partial 16S ribosomal RNA". It matches the Rfam family "Bacterial small subunit ribosomal RNA", at positions 28 to 507 of the family's 1533-position model. The record is from RNAcentral.
GACGAACGCUGGCGGCGUGCCUAAUACAUGCAAGUUGAGCGCUGAAGGUUGGUACUUGUACCAACUGGAUGAGCAGCGAACGGGUGAGUAACGCGUGGGGAAUCUGCCUUUGAGCGGGGGACAACAUUUGGAAACGAAUGCUAAUACCGCAUAAAAACUUUAAACACAAGUUUUAAGUUUGAAAGAUGCAAUUGCAUCACUCAAAGAUGAUCCCGCGUUGUAUUAGCUAGUUGGUGAGGUAAAGGCUCACCAAGGCGAUGAUACAUAGCCGACCUGAGAGGGUGAUCGGCCACAUUGGGACUGAGACACGGCCCAAACUCCUACGGGAGGCAGCAGUAGGGAAUCUUCGGCAAUGGACGAAAGUCUGACCGAGCAACGCCGCGUGAGUGAAGAAGGUUGUCGGAUCGUAAAACUCUGUUGGUAGAGAAGAACGUCGGUGAGAGUGGAAAGCUCAUCAAGUGACGGUAACUACCCAGAAAGGGACGGCUAACUACGUG